CGGACGGGUGAGUAACGCGUAGGAAUCUAUCCUUGGAAUGGGGGACAACCGUGGGAAACUACGGCUAAUACCGCAUGAUGCCUGAGGGCCAAAGACGAAAGUCGUUUGAGGAGGAGCCUGCGUCUGAUUAGGUAGUUGGUGGGGUAAAGGCCUACCAAGCCUGCGAUCAGUAGCUGGUCUGAGAGGAUGAUCAGCCACAUUGGGACUGAGACACGGCCCAAACUCCUACGGGAGGCAGCAGUGGGGAAUAUUGGACAAUGGGCGAAAGCCUGAUCCAGCAAUGCCGCGUGUGUGAAGAAGGUCUUCGGAUUGUAAAGCACUUUUGGCAGGGACGAUGAUGACGGUACCUGCAGAAUAAGCCCCGGCUAACUUCGUG
Molecule: ribosomal RNA, 376 nt
Filed under: uncultured bacterium
Lineage: Bacteria
Description: bacterial SSU rRNA
Rfam family: Bacterial small subunit ribosomal RNA
Source: RNAcentral